UACGUAGGGCGCAAGCGUUGUCCGGAAUUAUUGGGCGUAAGAGCUCGUAGGCGGUUUGUCGCGUCUGCUGUGAAAACCUAAGGCUCAACCUUGGGCUUGCAGUGGGUACGGGCAGACUAGAGUGCGGUAGGGGUGACUGGAAUUCCUGGUGUAGCGGUGGAAUGCGCAGAUAUCAGGAGGAACACCGAUGGCGAAGGCAGGUCACUGGGCCGCAACUGACGCUGGAGGAGCGGAAAAGCAUGGGGAGCGAACAGG
This 255-nucleotide ribosomal RNA is filed under the name uncultured bacterium. Its description in RNAcentral is "partial 16S ribosomal RNA". It matches the Rfam family "Bacterial small subunit ribosomal RNA", at positions 524 to 776 of the family's 1533-position model. The record is from RNAcentral.